This 1034-nucleotide ribosomal RNA is filed under the name Xylocleptes bispinus. Its description in RNAcentral is "partial large subunit ribosomal RNA". It matches the Rfam family "Eukaryotic large subunit ribosomal RNA", at positions 385 to 1122 of the family's 3401-position model. Lineage: Eukaryota; Metazoa; Arthropoda; Insecta; Coleoptera; Curculionidae. The record is from RNAcentral.
GAGUUCAAGAGUACGUGAAACCGUUUAGGGGUAAACCUGAGAAACCCGAAAGGUCGAAGGAAGAAAUUCAUUCGCGUCUCGUCGUCGGCGGGAAGCGGUCGCGUGACGAAAACGACUUCGUGUCGUUUUCGCGCCUUUCGUUUUUCGAACCGGUGACGAACGCGUGCACUUUUCUUCUGGUAGGACGUCGCGAUCCGUUGGGUGUCGGUCUAAGACUCGCGGUGGAGCCCGCCCGUCGUCUCGUACGUACGGACGGACCCGCGUGUUCCGGCCGACCCGCUCGACGGUAUACGAAUGGUCGAAGGCCGCUCUUCGGAGCGUCCGGCUCGCGACAAGCGCGCCCGUCACGUCGGUAAUCGGACCUAGUGCCGUUUCCGACACCGGGCGACUGUUGGUCGCGAAGUUCUCGGACAGACCUUUAUUUAAAGACCGAUCUGCGACGCUAUAGCUUUGGGUACUUUCAGGACCCGUCUUGAAACACGGACCAAGGAGUCUAGCAUGUGCGCGAGUCAUUGGGAAUUACUAAACCUAAAGGCGUAAUGAAAGUGAAGGUCUUCCUUGCGGAGACCGAGGGAAGACGAGCGGUUACACCCUUAAAAGUGGCCGUUCCGCAUUCCCGGGGCGUCUCGUUCUCAUCGCGAGAAGAGGCGCACCACGAGCGUACACGCUGGGACCCGAAAGAUGGUGAACUAUGCCUGGUCAGGACGAAGUCAGGGGAAACCCUGAUGGAGGUCCGUAGCGAUUCUGACGUGCAAAUCGAUCGUCGGAACUGGGUAUAGNNNNNNNNNNNNNNNNNNNNNNNNNNNNNNNNNNNNNNNNGGGCGAAAGACUAAUCGAACCAUCUAGUAGCUGGUUCCCUCCGAAGUUUCCCUCAGGAUAGCUGGCGCUCGUUGCGUACGAGUCUCAUCCGGUAAAGCGAAUGAUUAGAGGCAUUGGGGUCGAAACGACCUCAACCUAUUCUCAAACUUUAAAUGGGUGAGAUCUCCGGCUUGCUCGAAACUCUCGAUGAAGCCGCGAGAAACGGAUCAGAGUGC